AUUGAACGCUGGCGGCAUGCUUUACACAUGCAAGUCGAACGGCAGCGCUGGGCAACCUGGCGGCGAGUGGCGAACGGGUGAGUAAUACAUCGGAACGUACCCAGAAGUGGGGGAUAACGUAGCGAAAGUUACGCUAAUACCGCAUACGUUCUACGGAAGAAAGUGGGGGACCUUCGGGCCUCAUGCUUUUGGAGCGGCCGAUGUCUGAUUAGCUAGUUGGUGAGGUAAAGGCUCACCAAGGCGACGAUCAGUAGCUGGUCUGAGAGGACGACCAGCCACACUGGGACUGAGACACGGCCCAGACUCCUACGGGAGGCAGCAGUGGGGAAUUUUGGACAAUGGGCGCAAGCCUGAUCCAGCAAUGCCGCGUGAGUGAAGAAGGCCUUCGGGUUGUAAAGCUCUUUUGUCAGGGAAGAAACGGCUGAGGAUAAUACCUUCGGCUAAUGACGGUACCUGAAGAAUAAGCACCGGCUAACUACGUG
This 482-nucleotide ribosomal RNA is filed under the name uncultured bacterium. Its description in RNAcentral is "partial 16S ribosomal RNA". It matches the Rfam family "Bacterial small subunit ribosomal RNA", at positions 30 to 507 of the family's 1533-position model. The record is from RNAcentral.